GCUCUUUACAAAGAGUUCAAAUGUAAUCUUAAUCCCUCUGGAGGGUUAGGUGGAUGUUGCAGCGACUGCAGUGCUGUUCAUUCCAGCGAGCUAUUGUGCUCUGGGAGUUAAUGCUGGGUUACUAAAUUGCCCAGUAAUCGUUUCAAAAAAGCAUUGCUUUGGGGUGUUGAAAAUGAAUGCACGCUUCCUUCUUCUGGCCCAAUGCUGUGCAGCAUAGCCAUUCAGCCACUAUUAGCACUGGCAAACGGGGGAAUGCUGGAAUUAAAUAUGUAGUACUUUUCCCUCUUUAUAUUGGCAGGCAUCACCAUUAAGAGCCUCAACACUUCACACAAGUGGGCACUAGCCUGGUUUUACAGAGGAGGAACUCAAGGUGCAGACAGGUUAAGUGGCCACACAGGAAGGCCAUGCAGCCAGUAACAGAACCAUAAUACCUGUGUUCAGUUCCCGGGUCUCACCACUAGAGAACAUUCCCCUGAAUUCUGUCCCAUCUCUCAAAUAUCUGUGCUGCCACAUCACUUCUUUGAGUGAAUUUGCUUUUCACUGCAGUCAGACUAACCGCAUUGGCAAGAGCAAGGCAUCAUGCAGGAAGGAAUUGGAAAGCAAUAUCCAAACCACUUUGACCUUAAAGGGGAUAUUAUCUAAUCCUAGGCCUCUUCUGAGCAGAGACUUCAGAUUUGGACUAAAUUAGCAACUUCUUUUGCAUUUGUAGCCGAAACAAAAUCUGAGCCCAGGCCUCCAGAAAUUAUCCGAGCUAGUACACUAAUCCCCCGUGCCACCUAGCCCAGUUUGAAACAAUGCGUGCCCUUGAAAAUGAUUAUAUAAAAACUUUUGCAAUGUUGGCACUUUACUGGGGUUAUAAUAACUGUCACCUGACCCAAUCUGUACCUGCAAAUGUUAUCUCUUGUCAGGCAUUCACCUUUUAACUACCCAUUCAAUGACUGCAGAGGCUAUUUAACCCUUACACGCCAUGUUUUUUAUAUGGAAUUUUGUUAGGUUUCGCAUCUCUUUGCCAAUGCUUAUUCAUGUCUUAAUACCUUUUUUAAAAGAGGGGAGGCAGAAGGGAACUGAAGCCAACACUAUUUUUGCUUCCUAACUUUUGUGGGGUACGGGAAGAGAUCAGUGAGGCGAUUUGAAAAUGUUCUGCAGAUUACCCUAGUAAUUAUGUAAAUGAAUACUUUGAAAUCUGUAUUGCUAUUUGCUGCAAUACGGUAAACAGGGGUUGGCCCUGAAAUACAAUGUGCGUGUGCAUGCACGUAAUAUGUAGUAGAUGAUGCAGAUUUAUAAUCAAACUUACACCUAAUUCUUGUUAUCUUAAAUCAUCUUUGGUCCUAAUAGUAUCAUAAGCAGCAAAUCCCUUGCACUGCUGUCUAAUCAAACUGGACCAGCCACUGUCCCCUAGUUCUGUAUGUGGAAAGAAACUCUGCUGCUUCUGUGACCUUUUCCUUCUACCCCCCUCGGCUUUGCUUCUGGACCCCGCAGAGACCUGUCCAUGCAGACCACCAUCCAUGCUGAUGGAGGGUUGGGUGCUCCAGAGACUGGGCUGGUAGUAUGAGGCUGGGGUGCGGUUUAGGGAAUGAAAACUGUCUGACAGAAAAGAUGAUACACUCUGGGGCUGUAUCUAUCACUUCUGUACUACACCCACCCUCUGCAGCUGUAGCUAGGAAGCUGGGUAUGGAGGACUGUUGUCCUAGGUUUGGGGGUGGGCCCUGUGACCUUUUCUGUUAUGGGGGGACAAACCCCACCCUCCUUACAAUGAUUAAUGUGGUACUGGUGGUGAGGGAUCCUCAUGGAGACUUCCUUCAUCCAAUCUCAUGGGAGAUGUGGUUCAAUAUUUUCUGCCUCUCCUGGCUUUCACAGUGCCCAGCACUCAGUCCUGGCAUUCAACACACACAUUUUAAUUGCUUGUUUCAGCUGUUUAUUAUGAAGAUCCAUUGAAAUGGGGGACAGUAUAACAGUGGAAAAGGAGAGGUUCUGAAGAGAGAUGUCCUUUGAUAAUGCAAACUGAUACAGCAGCUAUAAUUUAUGCACACUAUGUGAGGCACCAAAAAUAAAAUCAAUUGGGAAUUCUCGUGAACAAGACGGAGGGGGUAGUUGUCUAUGUGUUUGAGAGAGAAUACCCUGGAUAUGGAAUUUGUCUUCAUGCAGUGGGAGCUGAUGUCACAACGUUAGCAUAUUACCUAGCUUUUAGGAUUUGUACUUAGUAUACACUAUUGGCUUUUCAAGCUGUAUGUUGAUCUGAAUAUUUUCAAUGGAAUUGUUUCCUAUAGUAACUAUUCUGCAUUUUGUGGCUACUUCUGAGGUGUGUGUCUUACUUUUCACAUUUAAAUAUAAAAGGUAACAAACAACUGUUCGUAAAACCAAGCACAAGUGGGUCAGCCAGGCUGUCUUGGUAACAGUCUCUCCCCUAACAAAUAGAGGAAUUAUGUCAAAAACGAACAUGUGAUAGGUGGUAUUUAUACAGAAUCUCUGGAUGCAAUUAUGCAAUCAUGCAAGCAACCAAACAUAGCCAGGUUUCCUUGCUUCAUCUGGGAUGCCACCCAAAUUUGUCAGCUGUACUUCAGCAUUAGCCGUUUCCCCGGCUCCCUGUCUCCUGCUGAUCCUUGUAUUCUUGGGUGAUGCUGUACUAAUCUAUGGAGCUCCUCUCUGUUGGCCAUCUGCAUUACUCCAUCAACGCUUUCCCCUACAGAUUCUCUCCUUUCUGCCUCUCCUAAUUUUGUGGACCUUCUGAAGCUCCACCAAACCACACUGACCUUCAGCAAACUAAGGAUGAUGAACCAGACACCAGAUACAAUGAUGCUGAAGAGACAAGACAGCUUAAAAAAUGAACAAGUGACUUUGCCCUGGGCUUCAAUGCAGUUGUGGCACGGAGCUUAAUAUCAGCAGUAAUAUUUUGGAGGCAGUCUUGUUUGCACACCUGCCUCUUAAAUUCUAAGGAUCGUAUUGUACUACAGGGUUUUGGUUUGGUUUGUUUAAGCAGAUUUCCCCUCUGAAAUCGGCAUGGAAUUAUGACUUUUAAUCAAUUUUGGCUUCUUAAAAGGGAGUUCGGUCCAUGUUUCUGAUUAGACAUGAAAAUGUUGCUUUUCUUGUGUCUAAAGCGGUGUUUGUAGUUGGAGAGUUACUGAGCUCUUUAUUACAGUAUUAAAGGCAGCACUCGUGUUUUCAUGACACUGUCUUGUGUAUCUCUUUUGCUUUAAUGCUUUUCCUGAGACAAACAUAACUGGGUAUACAGAAUGAAAUGUUGAGAACCUGCUGCUCCCAUGGCAGGCAAUGGGAGUUACAGAUGCUCAGUAGCUCUCAGGGUCUAACCUUGAGAUAGCAAAGGAUGGUUCCUCUGAAUCAAGUUCUUGCUGAAGUCCAUGGGAGUUGGAUUGAGUCACAGGAAAGGGUUCCCAUCUUUUAAAUUCACUGUUUGUCUCAAGGGGGUUUUUUUUUCUUUAAAAAGUAAAAUGAAAGUUUUGGUAUCCCAGAACAAUUGAAAACAAUGGUGUUUUCAAAAUGCCGUAAUAUCUUGUUAAACUUGUAGUGCAUCCCUGAGGUAAAAUAACCUUUCAAACAAUCCCUUUAGUUGAUUAUCUGCACUGAUUGUUACCAUCUUGCAACAACUGUCC
Long non-coding RNA from Chelonia mydas (Green sea turtle), 3608 nucleotides. RefSeq lists it as uncharacterized. The record is from RefSeq and is a predicted model, not a curated record. The transcript is spliced from 3 exons. Lineage: Eukaryota; Metazoa; Chordata; Testudines; Cheloniidae.